UUUAGGAAUAUACUUUUUGAACAAGGGCUUUGGUUUCAAAAGUUCUUCAGAUUCAACUGUAGGGACUGGCUUUUUCACAGUAAAUGGUUUUGGAAUAGGUUUAAGAAUUGGAAUUGGCUUAACAAUGGGAACUAGCUUAGGUUUAAGAAUAGGAAUUGGCUUAACAAUGGGAACUAUCUUUGGUAGAGGCUUAACAACUGGAAUAUAAAUAGGCUUAACAACUGGAAUUACCUUUGGUAUUGCCUUAAUUUUGGGAAUAGGUUUUGGGAAAAGACCUUUGAAUUUUACUUCUUCACUGGGAAUUGGCUUUAUGUCUGGAAUUGGUUUUGGUGUGGGCUUAAUGGAAAUUGAUUUUGGUACAGGCUUAUUAAAAACUGGAAUAGGAAUAGGUUUAAUAACAGGAACUGGCUUUGGAAUAGGUUUGAUAACAGGAAUUGGUUUUAGAAUAGGUUUAAUAACAGGAAUUGGCUUUAGAAUAGGUUUAACAACAGGAACUGGCUUUGGAAUAGGUUUAAUAACAGGAAUUGGCUUUAGAAUAGGUUUAACAAAUGGAAUUGGUUUAGUAAACAAUCCUUUGAAUUUUGAUUCUUCAUCAUGGCCUUCUGCAUUAUUCCCAUACUUGUUCACUUCAUUGCCUACAUAAGAAAUGC
This 650-nucleotide long non-coding RNA is filed under the name Phaseolus vulgaris (common bean). RNAcentral describes it as "long non-coding RNA (PVUL_LNC000464)". Lineage: Eukaryota; Viridiplantae; Streptophyta; Magnoliopsida; Fabales; Fabaceae. The record is from RNAcentral.